GCCCAGGUGGUGGAAUUGGUAGACACGCUACUUUGAGGGGGUAGUCUGUAAAAAGGUGCGGGUUCGAGUCCCGCCCUGGGCACCA
Molecule: transfer RNA, 85 nt
Filed under: Candidatus Anaerobiospirillum pullistercoris
Lineage: Bacteria; Pseudomonadati; Pseudomonadota; Gammaproteobacteria; Aeromonadales; Succinivibrionaceae
Description: tRNA-Leu
Rfam family: tRNA
About the family: Transfer RNA (tRNA) molecules are approximately 80 nucleotides in length. Their secondary structure includes four short double-helical elements and three loops (D, anti-codon, and T loops).
Source: RNAcentral